RNAcentral lists this ribosomal RNA (403 nucleotides) under uncultured bacterium. RNAcentral's name for it is "partial 16S ribosomal RNA". It matches the Rfam family "Bacterial small subunit ribosomal RNA", at positions 30 to 526 of the family's 1533-position model. The record is from RNAcentral.
AUUGAACGCUGGCGGCAGGCCUAACACAUGCAAGUCGAGCGAGCGGCGGACGGGUGAGUAAUGUAUGGGGACUGCCCGAUAGAGGGGGAUAACUACUGGCAACGGUGGCUAAUACCGCAUACUAUCGGAUAACCCAUAUGGGAUCAGCUAGUAGGUGGGGUAAAGGAUAACCUAGGCGACGAUCUCUAUCUGGUCUGAGAGGAUGAUCAGCGCGACUGGGAAUGGAACACGGCCCAGAACCCUACGGAGGCACCAGUGAGGAAUAUUGCACAAUGGGCGCAAACCUGAUGCAGCCAUGCCGGGUGUAUGAAGAAGGCAUUAGGGUGGUAAAGUACUUUAGGCGGGGAGGCGUUCCGCGCAGAAGAAGCACCGGCUAACUCCGUGCCAGCCGCCGCGGUAAUUC